CCUACGGGGGGCAGCAGUGGGGAAUCUUGCGCAAUGGGCGAAAGCCUGACGCAGCGACGCCGCGUGAGUGAUGAAGGCCUUCGGGUUGUAAAGCUCUGUGGAGGGGGACGAAUAAGGGCUGGUGAAUAUCCAGUCUGAUGACGGUACCCCUUUAGCAAGCACCGGCUAACUCUGUGCCAGCAGCCGCGGUAAGACAGAGGGUGCAAACGUUGUUCGGAAUUACUGGGCGUAAAGCGCGUGUAGGCUGCUCGGAAAGUCGGAUGUGAAAGCCCUGGGCUCAACCUAGGAAGUGCAUUCGAAACUUCCGAGCUGGAGUGCUGGAGAGGAAGGCGGAAUUCUCGGUGUAGAGGUGAAAUUCGUAGAUAUCGAGAGGAACACCGGUGGCGAAGGCGGCCUUCUGGACAGCCACUGACGCUGAGACGCGAAAGCGUGGGGAGCAAACAGGAUUAGAUACCCCGGUAGUC
This 464-nucleotide ribosomal RNA is filed under the name uncultured bacterium. Its description in RNAcentral is "bacterial SSU rRNA". It matches the Rfam family "Bacterial small subunit ribosomal RNA", at positions 338 to 795 of the family's 1533-position model. The record is from RNAcentral.